Molecule: small nuclear RNA, 165 nt
Organism: Suricata suricatta (meerkat)
Lineage: Eukaryota; Metazoa; Chordata; Mammalia; Carnivora; Herpestidae
Gene: U1
Rfam family: U1 spliceosomal RNA
About the family: U1 is a small nuclear RNA (snRNA) component of the spliceosome (involved in pre-mRNA splicing). Its 5' end forms complementary base pairs with the 5' splice junction, thus defining the 5' donor site of an intron. There are significant differences in sequence and secondary structure between metazoan and yeast U1 snRNAs, the latter being much longer (568 nucleotides as compared to 164 nucleotides in human).
Source: Ensembl
GUACUUAGCUGGCGGAGGAGAUAACCAUGAUCAUGAAGGUGGCGUUCGCAGGCUGAGGCCUAUCCCUCGCACGCCGGAUGUGCCGUCCCCUGCGAGCUCCCCAAAUGUGGGAAACUCGACGGCAUAAUUUGUGGUAGUGGGGGACUGCAUUCAUGCUCUCCUAUU